Molecule: ribosomal RNA, 461 nt
Filed under: uncultured Alcaligenaceae bacterium
Lineage: Bacteria; Pseudomonadati; Pseudomonadota; Betaproteobacteria; Burkholderiales; Alcaligenaceae
Description: bacterial SSU rRNA
Rfam family: Bacterial small subunit ribosomal RNA
Source: RNAcentral
CGGGGGGCUGCAGUGGGGAAUUUUGGACAAUGGGGGAAACCCUGAUCCAGCCAUCCCGCGUGUGCGAUGAAGGCCUUCGGGUUGUAAAGCACUUUUGGCAGGAAAGAAACGUCAUGGGUUAAUACCCCGUGAAACUGACGGUACCUGCAGAAUAAGCACCGGCUAACUACGUGCCAGCAGCCGCGGUAAUACGUAGGGUGCAAGCGUUAAUCGGAAUUACUGGGCGUAAAGCGUGCGCAGGCGGUUCGGAAAGAAAGAUGUGAAAUCCCAGAGCUUAACUUUGGAACUGCAUUUUUAACUACCGAGCUAGAGUGUGUCAGAGGGAGGUGGAAUUCCGCGUGUAGCAGUGAAAUGCGUAGAUAUGCGGAGGAACACCGAUGGCGAAGGCAGCCUCCUGGGAUAACACUGACGCUCAUGCACGAAAGCGUGGGGAGCAAACAGGAUUAGAUACCCGAGUAGUC